GGUGUGGUUGUUGCUGGCCCUCUCGGGGGCAUGUGCACACCCACCRUCCUCAUCUCUCCACCUGUGCACCUCUUGUAGACCUGGAUUGACUUUCCGAGGCAACUCGGUCGGGAAGAUUGCUGCGCUCUGUGAGCCAGCUUUCUUUGCAUGUCCAGGCCUAUGUUUUUCAUAUACCCCUAUAGAAUGUAACAGAAUGUAUYAUUGGGCCUUGUGCCUAUAAACCUUAUACARCUUUCAGCAACGGAUCUCUUGGCUCUCGCAUCGAUGAAGAACGCAGCGAAAUGCGAUAAGUAAUGUGAAUUGCAGAAUUCAGUGAAUCAUCGAAUCUUUGAACGCACCUUGCGCUCCUUGGUAUUCCGAGGAGCAUGCCUGUUUGAGUGUCAUUAAAUUCUCAACCUUAUUAACUUUUGUUGAUAAUGGAUUGGAUUGUGGGGGUUUCUUUUGCUGGCUUCUUCACAGAGAUCAGCUCCCCUUAAAUGCAUUAGCUGGUGCCCCGCGUGGACCAUCUAUUGGUGUGAUAAUUAUCUACGCCGUGGAUGUCUGCAAUYAUAUGGGUUUCGCACUGCUUCUAACCGUCUGUUCAUUCGGACAAUACAUGACAAUUUGACCUCAAAUCAGGUAGGACUACCCGCUGAACUUAAGCAUAUCAAUAAGCGGAGGAAAAGAAACUAACAAGGAUUCCCCUAGUAACUGCGAGUGAAGCGGGAAAAGCUCAAAUUUAAAAUCUGGCGGUCUCCGGCCGUCCGAGUUGUAAUCUAGAGAAGUGUUAUCCGCGCUGGAC
RNAcentral lists this ribosomal RNA (781 nucleotides) under Alnicola umbrina. Its description in RNAcentral is "eukaryotic LSU rRNA". The stretch from base 230 to 383 matches the Rfam family "5.8S ribosomal RNA". The record is from RNAcentral. Lineage: Eukaryota; Fungi; Basidiomycota; Agaricomycetes; Agaricales; Hymenogastraceae.